Molecule: ribosomal RNA, 501 nt
Filed under: uncultured bacterium
Lineage: Bacteria
Description: partial 16S ribosomal RNA
Rfam family: Bacterial small subunit ribosomal RNA
Source: RNAcentral
AUUGAACGCUGGCGGCAGGCUUAACACAUGCAAGUCGAGCGGAGAUGAGGUGCUUGCACCUUAUCUUAGCGGCGGACGGGUGAGUAAUGCUUAGGAAUCUGCCUAUUAGUGGGGGACAACAUUCCGAAAGGAAUGCUAAUACCGCAUACGUCCUACGGGAGAAAGCAGGGGAUCUUCGGACCUUGCGCUAAUAGAUGAGCCUAAGUCGGAUUAGCUAGUUGGUGGGGUAAAGGCCUACCAAGGAGACGAUCUGUAGCGGGUCUGAGAGGAUGAUACGCCACUCUGGGACUGAGACACGGACAAGACUCCUACGGGAGGCAGCAGUGGGGAAUAUGGGACAAUGGGGGGAACUCUGAUCCAGCCAUGCCGCGUGUGUGAAGAAGGCCUUAUGGUUGUAAAGCACUUUAAGCGAGGAGGAGGCUACUGAGACUAAUACUCUUGGAUAGUGGACGUUACUCGCAGAAUAAGCACCGGCUAACUCUGUGCCAGCCGCCGCAGUAA